AUGUAUAAUCCAAAACCAUAUUACCAAUUUUGGGGCAACUUUAUACUACUUGCGAAUAUAAAGAAUAUGAUUAACCAACAAAUAUUGGAUUGUAACAGAUGUGAAAAAAAUACUUCUAUGCUUCAACAAAUCAUAUGGUGUGAGUAUCGUCUGAAAGCUUUUAGGAUAAAUAAGGAUAGAGGGUUGUUUUGUUCAAGGAAACAGAAUGACUCUCCUUACACCAAGUCUAAGUUCAUCAUCAUUCAUCAUUGUUACAUGUAUAAAACAGGGAAAUACACAAUGAAUAAGAGGAAUAAGGAUAGAGAGCCGUUAACUUCAUCGCACUGUUCAUUUGCUUAUACUGAAGAAAUAAGAUAA
RNAcentral lists this ribosomal RNA (357 nucleotides) under Triticum aestivum (bread wheat). RNAcentral's name for it is "partial small subunit ribosomal RNA". The record is from RNAcentral. Lineage: Eukaryota; Viridiplantae; Streptophyta; Magnoliopsida; Poales; Poaceae.